This 55-nucleotide transfer RNA is filed under the name Gyraulus sp. GE1. RNAcentral's name for it is "tRNA-Ser". Lineage: Eukaryota; Metazoa; Mollusca; Gastropoda; Planorbidae. The record is from RNAcentral.
UUUUGUUAAGUGAAGAUUUUGAAAAUCAUCCAAGAAUAAAAUUAUUCAACAAAAA